RNAcentral lists this ribosomal RNA (255 nucleotides) under uncultured bacterium. Its description in RNAcentral is "partial 16S ribosomal RNA". It matches the Rfam family "Bacterial small subunit ribosomal RNA", at positions 524 to 776 of the family's 1533-position model. The record is from RNAcentral.
UACGUAGGGUACAAGCAUUAAUCGGAAUGAUUGGGCGUAAAGGGCGCGUAGGCGGCCUAGUAAGUCAGAUGUGAAAUUCCAGAGCUCAACUCUGGAGCUGCAUGUGAAACUGCAAGGCUAAAGAGGUAAGACGGAGAAAGCGGAACUCCACGUGUAGCGGUGAAAUGCGUAGAUAUGUGGAAGAACACCUGUGGCGAAAGCGGCUUUCUAGUUUUAACCUGACGCUGAGGCGCGAGAGCAAGGGGAGCAAACAGG